Clupea harengus (Atlantic herring) is the source of this 3436-nucleotide long non-coding RNA. Lineage: Eukaryota; Metazoa; Chordata; Actinopteri; Clupeiformes; Clupeidae. The record is from Ensembl.
AUCUCCACCUGAUAACAAAGAUGUAGCCUUUUCAUUUUGUCACACAUUGUAUACAUUACCCAUUAACCUUCAUUUCAUGACCUUUAGACGUAGGUGUGCUGGUAAGGGAUUUUGCUCUUCCGGACCAAAAAGCAAAAGCAGUGUGUUUUAUGUUUAUGGUCACUGAAGAUACAGAGAUAGUGGUUUAGCUUAGUUACAAAGCUAACUACAUUAGAUAGGCGUUAAAGAUGUCUGCAUAGUGGUAUGGACGCCUACUCUUGCCAGCCAUUCUGGGUAUAAAAUAAAAUCGCUUACUGCCCUGAUAUCCUUUUAUAGUCUGAAGUAGGAGAAUGUCUCCUGCACAGAUAAUCAGUCACCAGGUGAGAGUCUCAAAUACAGGGGAGUCCUCUGUUUUAAAAUUUGGCGCGUGGGAGAGGAGGCUUUAAAUGAAACCAAAAACCUAAUUCGCUAGCCUGAAGCCUGAAAUUCAGUUUCAUUCUUCGUAUUAUUGGUGCCUGCUUGAGGAAGAAGUAACAAGGUUCAGUAAGGCCUUGCCCAACAGAAUAAAGAAUGGUGAAAGUAUUUAUCAUCUUUGCUGGAAACACUCUGAACACUCAUGCAAAGUUUUGGCAGCGCCUGGUCAGAAGUAACGAUGCGGAGGAAGUGGCCAACGUUAGAGACUGUGAUGUGACCCUCACAUUCUGUCCAAUCGUCUCACGAGUUGGAACUGAUGUAGAGGCAGCCGUCCAGCUGAUCCCAACAACUAGACCUGGAGUCCUGGUAUUACUGCACCCAACCUUUAACCCAGAGGAAAUAGUCCCAGACGCCAACAGAUUUGUAACCAGUGCUAAAAUCCUGACUGUCAACUGCUUGUUCCACGAGGGCACCCUACUGGACAGCCAUUGCAAUGACGAAGCCUUUGAAAGCGUUUCCAGUUACUUAAGGAAAAUUGCCCCACAUACUAGCUAUGAACUUCCUUCUCCACCUCAUAAUCGAAACCAUGGUUACAACUCCAUGCACAUGGUGGGGAUAACUGUCACACUAUUGGGUUUAAUCUUUAUUAUUUAUCUUUAUCUUAUGCCAUCGCUCCAAGACAAGCCAAUGGCCAGAGGUGGAAAUUCCACCUCCUCUUCACAUCUGUCAACCUAAAAUUUAAAAUGACAUGUAGUUGUUUAUGAACAAAAAUAAAUGAUCAGUCAAACCAAGAAAACAUUUUCAUACUCUUGAAUCAUCCUCAAAUAUACCAACUUUAACAAAACAUACAUGAUUGCACUGUCUACAAGAUUGUGUUUAAAAAACAAUAUACUUAUACCAUGUCAUGACAUGUCAUAUCACACCCCGUGAGCAGAAUUUGUUAAUGGUAAACUCUAGCAGAUUUGACCAGCUAUAAUAUGGUAGGUCUUCUAUCUCAGAAUUGUCUGGAAUUUCCACACACUUCGACAUAAAAUAGGCCUUAUUCAAUUCAGAGUUUGUAACUGAAGCUUCUCUUUCACACACUGUUUUUCAAAAGUUGGAAUAAUGCUUACUGGUGUGCAAUCAUGUCUCUUUUGCACUAUAAUAACUUCUGUUCUGCUGUAUCAUGUUUAAUUUGGAACACAUUUAGAAAGUUUAAGGAUUUAAAAUGAGACCUCAGCAAUUGUGAUGUUAACAUGUGGCAUAAAGAAAGUGAUGAAAUUAAAGACCUAUUAUGGGAGAAUUGGUAUUUUUUGCUAUUGAGCUCCCUCUAAAGAUGGAGAGUGUAGCUUACUUUUCAUGGAAAGUGUGUCUGCUUCUCAGAUGGAAGCUGGAAGAUUAUUCCACAGGAGAGGGUCUCGAUAGCAGAAGGCUCUGCCUCCUAUUGUGCUUUUUGACUUUCUUGGAAUUACAGAUCUGCACUCUGGGAACGAAGUGUUUUUGGUGUUAGAAGGAGUACUUUGAAAUCAAUUAUUCUUUUGACAGAGAGGCCAGUACAGGUGAGAUGUUCAAUAUAUUUUUUAGCUCUAGUAAGUGUGCGAGCAGAAACAUUCAGUAUGAGUUGGAGGCUCUUUAUUGAGUUGUUGCUAUGUCCAGACAGGAGAGGAUUGUUAGUUUAGUUUUUCGGCAUCUUGGAGGGAUAGGACUUUUCUAAUUUUGGCAAUAUUGCGUAGAUGAAAAAAUAGUGUCUGAGUUCUGUUUUCUGUGUAAGUCUAGUAGAAGGUAUUCGUUUAUAAUUAUACAGAGAUUUUUGGUGGAGUGUUGGAUGUUAAUAAGAUGCCAUUGAGUGUGGUAGAUGGUUAGAUAAUGCCAUUCUCGAUUGUUUAGGGCCUACAAGCAUAACCUCAGUUUUAUCUGAGUUAGGGAGCAGGAAGUUGUUAGUCAUCCAUGCUUAACAUCUUGCAAGCAAGCUUCCAUCUUGGGUAGCUGUACAAUUUCCUCAGAGUUCAUGGAUAGGUAGUCGGGCUAGCUAACCUGCAUAACAUUACUUAACUGUCGAUACGGUCGUCUGCUUGUUGUCAUUAGGUGAACGCUCUAAACUCGGAAGUAGGACCUUCCGGAAUGGGAACUUUCUCCAAUUCCCAGUUGCCCGAAUGCACACUGAGCAUGCACGUCUAAUUUCUCAUGUACAUCUGUCCUUUUGUUGAUGACACAACGAAAGGAAGGGAGAAUUAAGAGGGUGUCUUUAACUAUUAAUCUUUAACUUGCAUGUGGCAUCAGGAAGUACAUGCCACUGGCAGGAGGCGGGACAUGCACUUCAUGUACUCAGAGGUGUAAAGUAACGAAUUACUUUUACUCACGUUACUGUAAUUGAGUAGUUUUUUUGUGUACUUUGUAAUUUUUAAGUAGUUUUUGAAAUCGGUAAUUUUACUUUUACUUAAGUAGAUUUUGACUGAAGUAUUGUACUUCGCUACAUUGGACAUUACAUCCGUUACUGAGUAAAAAAAAAAACAUAGUUCAAGGCGGGAAUCGCGCACCACAAUUCUCACUGCAAUGGUGGAUGCUGCAUAGAGUAAAUGAUGGAGUCAUGCAAGGAGCCGGUACGGUGCCGAGUCACGAGAGAUAGAUAUGGAGGAAGAUGAUAGUGCGGACUACCAACAAGCUGAAGCACCGAACUUUCCGCCAGUUGAAAUUAAAGAAGAUGAAGAAAACCCGUGGCCAUAUCUCAGCAAGCAGUUUGCCUUCCAACGUAAAAGAGGCAACAGCUAUAUGCUGUGUAAACUGUGCCUAAUCCGCCAGUCAGAACUUUCUGCUUAUACAAAUUCAUCUUCAAAUCUGCGCAAGCAUGUGUUGGUAAGUACAGUAUUUGUCCCUUUCCAUUAGUAGUUCAGACAGCGUUUUUGUCAUUUAGUUAGCUUUGCUCCAUUAAGCAAAAUAUGCGUUUCAUGGCACUAGUAGGUAGUAGCCUAAUUUUGGCUAGCACUUGCAACCGACCUGAGUAUGCUAACGUCGACAGCGGUCAUCCAAUAGACUAAUAAUACCAUUCCUGUCUUCCAUUCGUUUC